This 549-nucleotide ribosomal RNA is filed under the name uncultured bacterium. RNAcentral's name for it is "bacterial SSU rRNA". It matches the Rfam family "Bacterial small subunit ribosomal RNA", at positions 355 to 896 of the family's 1533-position model. The record is from RNAcentral.
UGGGGAAUAUUGGACAAUGGGCGAAAGCCUGAUCCAGCCAUGCCGCGUGUGUGAAGAAGGCUUUUUGGUUGUAAAGCACUUUAAGUGGGGAGGAAAAGCUUGUGGUUAAUACCCAUAAGCCCUGACGUUACCCACAGAAUAAGCACCGGCUAACUCUGUGCCAGCAGCCGCGGUAAUACAGAGGGUGCAAGCGUUAAUCGGAAUUACUGGGCGUAAAGCGCGCGUAGGUGGUUAUUUAAGUCAGAUGUGAAAGCCCCGGGCUUAACCUGGGAACUGCAUCUGAUACUGGAUAACUAGAGUAGGUGAGAGGGGAGUAGAAUUCCAGGUGUAGCGGUGAAAUGCGUAGAGAUCUGGAGGAAUACCGAUGGCGAAGGCAGCUCCCUGGCAUCAUACUGACACUGAGGUGCGAAAGCGUGGGUAGCAAACAGGAUUAGAUACCCUGGUAGUCCACGCCGUAAACGAUGUCUACCAGUCGUUGGGUCUUUUAAAGACUUAGUGACGCAGUUAACGCAAUAAGUAGACCGCCUGGGGAGUACGGCCGCAAGGUUA